ACCACCUUGAUCGGCAUUAUUCAGGUUCAGAAUAAGCUAUUAUGGUCAAUAACUGCAACUGGCUUACCGGCUGUAUCAAUUUCUAUAACUAUAAUUAUUUCAGAUUCCAAUCACAUUAUUCGGGGCCCUUCUCGUGGAUAGGUGUGGAAGGAGAACCCUUCUACUGGUGUCUUCAUCUGGCACAUUUGUGGGCUGCUUUCUUACUGGGCUAUCAUUCUACUUUAAGGCACAAGGAUUGUACACACAAUUGGUUCCU
This is a long non-coding RNA of Triticum dicoccoides, 256 nucleotides long. RefSeq lists it as uncharacterized. The record is from RefSeq and is a predicted model, not a curated record. NCBI's taxonomy places the organism in Eukaryota, Viridiplantae, Streptophyta, Magnoliopsida, Poales, Poaceae. The transcript is spliced from 3 exons.